UACGUAGGGUGCAAGCGUUGUCCGGAAUUACUGGGCGUAAAGAGCUCGUAGGUGGUUUGUCGCGUUGUUCGUGAAAACUCACAGCUCAACUGUGGGCGUGCGGGCGAUACGGGCAGACUUGAGUACUGCAGGGGAGACUGGAAUUCCUGGUGUAGCGGUGGAAUGCGCAGAUAUCAGGAGGAACACCGGUGGCGAAGGCGGGUCUCUGGGCAGUAACUGACGCUGAGGAGCGAAAGCGUGGGGAGCAAACAGG
This 253-nucleotide ribosomal RNA is filed under the name uncultured bacterium. Its description in RNAcentral is "partial 16S ribosomal RNA". It matches the Rfam family "Bacterial small subunit ribosomal RNA", at positions 524 to 776 of the family's 1533-position model. The record is from RNAcentral.